CCUACGGGAGGCAGCAGUGGGGAAUAUUCGUCAAUGGACGAAAGUCUGAACGAGCCAAGCAGCGUGAAGGAUGACUGCCCUAGGAGUUGAAAACUUCUUUUAUAUGGGAGUAAAACAGUGUAUGCAUACCCUCUUGUAUGUACCAUAUGAAUAAGGAUCGGCUAACUCCGUGCCAGACCCCGCGGUAAUGCGGAGGAUCCGUGCGUUAUCCUGAUUUAUUGUGUUUAAAGGGAGCGUAUGUGGAUUGGUAAGUCAGUUGUGAAAGUUAGCGGAUGAAACGUAAAAUUGCAUUUGAAACUGGCAGUCUUGAGUGAAGUAGAGGUGAGCGGAAUUCGAGGUGUAGCGGUGAAAUGCGUAGAUAUCACGAAGAACACCGAUGGCGAAGGCAGCUCACUGGAUUGCAACUGACACUGAGGCUCGAAAGCGUGGGGAGCAAACAGGAUUAGAUACCCGAGUAGUC
RNAcentral lists this ribosomal RNA (460 nucleotides) under uncultured bacterium. Its description in RNAcentral is "partial 16S ribosomal RNA". It matches the Rfam family "Bacterial small subunit ribosomal RNA", at positions 338 to 795 of the family's 1533-position model. The record is from RNAcentral.